GUCGAGAAUAAUUCACAAUGGACGAAAGUCUGAUGGUGCAACGCCGCGUGGAGGAUGACGGUCUUCGGAUUGUAAACUCCUGUCAUCCGGGAGUAAGACCUGGCUGUGAAUAGCAGACAGGGUUGAUAGUACCGGAAGAGGAAGGGACGGCUAACUUCGUGCCAGCAGCCGCGGUAAUACGAAGGUCCCGAGCGUUGUUCGGAAUCACUGGGCGUAAAGGGAGCGUAGGCGGCGUGGUAAGUCAGAUGUGAAAUCCCGGGGCUCAACCCCGGAACUGCAUCCGAUACUGCCGUGCUAGAGGAUUGGAGAGGUAGCUGGAAUUCUUGGUGUAGCAGUGAAAUGCGUGGAGAUCAAGAGGAACACUCGUGGCGAAAGCGAGCUACUGGACAAUAUCUGACGCUGAGGCUCGAAGGCCAGGGUAGCGAAAGGGAUUAGAAACCCUUGUAGUCC
RNAcentral lists this ribosomal RNA (450 nucleotides) under uncultured bacterium. RNAcentral's name for it is "bacterial SSU rRNA". It matches the Rfam family "Bacterial small subunit ribosomal RNA", at positions 354 to 796 of the family's 1533-position model. The record is from RNAcentral.